GAUGAAGAACGUAGCGAAAUGCGAUAAGUAGUGUGAAUUGCAGAAUUCAGUGAAUCAUCGAAUCUUUGAACCCACAUUGCGCCCCUUGGUAUCCCGAGGGGCAUGCCUGUUCGAGCGUCAUUUCACCACUCAAGCCUGGCUUGGUGUUGGGCGACGUCCUCUUUGGGGACGCGCCUCGAAACGCUCGGCGGCGUGGCACCGGCUUUAAGCGUAGCAGAAUCUUUCGCUUUGGAAGUCGGGGCCCCGUCUGCCGGAAGACCUGCUCGCAAGGUUGACCUCGGAUCAGGCAGGGAUACCCGCUGAACUUAAGCAUAUCAAUAAGCGGAGGA
Molecule: unclassified non-coding RNA, 329 nt
Filed under: soil metagenome
Description: partial contains 5.8S ribosomal RNA, internal transcribed spacer 2, and large subunit ribosomal RNA
Rfam family: 5.8S ribosomal RNA (bases 1-120)
Source: RNAcentral